GUUAGAGGGAGGGUUAUAUGGGGUAACAGGAGGGGUUAGAGGGAGGGUUAUAUGGAGUAAUAGGAGGAGUUAUAGGGAGGGUUAUAUGGAGUAAUAGGAGGAGUUAUAGGGAAGGUUAUAUGGAGUAAUAGGAGGGGUUAUAGGGAGAGGUUAUAUGGAGUAAUAGGAUAAGUUAUAUAGAGUAAUAGGAGGAGUUAUAGGGAGUAAUAGGAGGAGUUAUAGGGAGGGUUAUAUGGAGUAAUAGGAGGAGUUAUAGGGAAGGUUAUAUGGAGUAAUAGGAGGUGUUAUAGGGAGGGUUAUAUGGAGUAAUAGGGGGAGUUACAGGGAGGGUUAUAUGGGGUAACAGGAGGGGUUAGAGGGAGGGUUAUAUGGGGUAACAGGAGGGGUUAGAGGGAGGGUUAUA
Molecule: non-coding RNA, 403 nt
Organism: Pelobates cultripes (western spadefoot toad)
Lineage: Eukaryota; Metazoa; Chordata; Amphibia; Anura; Pelobatidae
Source: the annotation of a GenBank genome assembly